CCUACGGGGCGCAGCAGUGAGGAAUAUUGGUCAAUGGGCGGGAGCCUGAACCAGCCAAGUCGCGUGAGGGAAGACGGUCCUAUGGAUUGUAAACCUCUUUAGGCGGGGAGCAAUGCCGGGCACGUGUGCACGGAGGGAGAGUACCCGCAGAAUAAGCAUCGGCUAACUCCGUGCCAGCAGCCGCGGUAAUACGGAGGAUGCGAGCGUUAUCCGGAUUGAUUGGGUUUAAAGGGUGCGUAGGCGGAUUUUUAAGUCAGCGGUAAAAUGUCCGGGCUCAACCCGGGCCGGGCGUUGAAACUGGGGAUCUUGAGUGGGCGAGAAGUAUGCGGAAUGCGUGGUGUAGCGGUGAAAUGCAUAGAUAUCACGCAGAACUCCGAUUGCGAAGGCAGCAUACCGGCGCCCGACUGACGCUGAGGCACGAAAGCGUGGGGAUCGAACAGGAUUAGAUACCCCGGUAGUC
This 460-nucleotide ribosomal RNA is filed under the name uncultured bacterium. Its description in RNAcentral is "partial 16S ribosomal RNA". It matches the Rfam family "Bacterial small subunit ribosomal RNA", at positions 338 to 795 of the family's 1533-position model. The record is from RNAcentral.